GACGAACGCUGGCGGCGUGCCUAACACAUGCAAGUCGAACGAUGAAGCUGGAGCUUGCUCUGGCGGAUUAGUGGCGAACGGGUGAGUAACACGUGAGAAAUCUGCCCUUGACUCUGGGAUAACUGCGGGAAACUGUAGCUAAUACCGGAUACUUUCCCUGGUGGGCAUCCACUGGGGAAGAAAGAAUUUCGGUCAAGGAUGAUCUCGCGGCCUAUCAGCUUGUUGGUGAGGUAAUGGCUCACCAAGGCGACGACGGGUAGCCGGCCUGAGAGGGUGACCGGCCACACUGGGACUGAGACACGGCCCAGACUCCUACGGGAGGCAGCAGUGGGGAAUAUUGCACAAUGGGCGCAAGCCUGAUGCAGCAACGCCGCGUGAGGGAUGAAGGCCUUCGGGUUGUAGACCUCUUUUAGCAGGGAAGAAGCGAAAGUGACGGUACCUGCAGAAAAAGCACCGGCUAACUACGUGCCAGCCGCCGCAGUAA
This 484-nucleotide ribosomal RNA is filed under the name uncultured bacterium. RNAcentral describes it as "partial 16S ribosomal RNA". It matches the Rfam family "Bacterial small subunit ribosomal RNA", at positions 28 to 523 of the family's 1533-position model. The record is from RNAcentral.